RNA transcript from Pyrgilauda ruficollis (rufous-necked snowfinch), 2039 nucleotides. It is a transcript of the gene named BCDIN3 domain containing RNA methyltransferase, with no coding region annotated. The record is from RefSeq and is a predicted model, not a curated record. Lineage: Eukaryota; Metazoa; Chordata; Aves; Passeriformes; Passeridae. The transcript has 3 exons.
CGCGGGGAGCAGUGCCAAGAUGGCGGCGCCCAUCAGCCGCGAUAGCCGCGGCUCCGAGCCCGGCGCGGCUCCCUACGGCAACUUCCCGAAUUAUUCCCGGUUCCACCCGCCCGAGGGGCGCAUCAGCCUCCUGCCCCAAGGGCUCCUGCGCAGCCUCUUUCCCGCGGCCACCCGCCCGCUCCUCGGGCUCGAUGUGGGCUGCAACUCCGGGGAGCUCAGCGUGGCUCUGUACCAGCACCUGCUGGGGCUCCAGGACAGCAGUUCCAGCCCGGAGCCGCCAGGGGCCGGGAAGGAGCUGAAGCUGCUGUGCUGUGACAUCGAUCCCGAGCUGAUCCGGAGGGCCCAGCAGAGCAGCCCCUUCCCUGCUUCCAUCUCCUUCGCCAGCCUGGACAUCAUGGACUCGGGGGCCAGGGAGCCCUUCCUGAGCUCCUACCUGGAGCGCUUCGGCCGCUCCUCCUUCGACAUCGGCUUCUGCAUGUCCGUGACCAUGUGGAUCCACCUGAACCACGGCGACAGGGGCCUGCUGGAGUUCCUGGCCCUGCUGGCCUCGCUGUGCACCUUCCUGCUGGUGGAGCCCCAGCCCUGGAGGUGCUACCGGGCGGCCGCGCGCCGGCUCCGCAGGCUGGGCCGCGACGACUUUGAGCACUUCCGCUCGCUGCGGAUCAACGGGGACAUGGCCGAGAGCAUCACCCGCAUCCUGACCCAGGAGUGUGCCAUGGAGCUGGUCUGCUCCUUCGGGAGCACCUCCUGGGACAGGAGCCUGCUGCUCUUCAAAUCCACCGCUGCUCGUCCCGAGGGCUCCGGCUGAGGGGCGGCCUCGCGCUGCCGUGGAUUCACGGGCGAGGAGGCGGAGCUGGGAAUUCCUGAAUCCCUGCUAGGACCGGGCCUUGGCUUCCUGUGGGAAUCCAGGGCAAGGAAUGUCUGUGACUGAUUGUUUUUAACCAGUUUUGCGGGGUGGGAGGUUGUUCAAGGAAGUGCUCCUGGAGUCCAAGUUCCUACAUGUGCUGUCCAUGUGUAUCAAGAAUAAUCCCUGGAAUAGCAGUCCCUCAGAGGCCUGCCUUGGAUCCAGGUUUGGCCUCACCUGGCCCAGCAAAGGUUUGAUCCCACCUGAAACCCACCCUGGCUGGGACAGUGCUGCUGUUCUGGAAUACCAGGAAACAUGCCCGAGGGAAUGUAGAAUGUCCUGAUUGGAACAGCCUCACAAGGAUCCUCCAGUCCAGCUCCUGGCCCUGCACAAGACAUCCAAAACUCCAGGCUGAAUUCUCCUGGUACAGGGGUUUAUCCCUAAUGGUGAGUGCUUUUGGGAGAAUUGAAAGGGCCUCACAAGGAUUCUCCAGUCCAGCUCCUGGCCCUGCACAAGACAUUCCAAAAAAAUCCCAUUAACCCCAAAAUCCUGUUGCCCAAGUUGUCCAGACAUUCCCAGACCUCCAGAAUCAUGGAAUAUCCCAGAGCUGAAAGGGACCUGUGAGGAUCUGAGAGUCAUGGAACAUCCAGAGUUGGAAGGGACCCACCCGGGUCAUCAACUCCAGCUCCUGGCCCCACACAGGACAUCCCAAAAUCCCACCCACUGCCUGAGAGUGUUGCCCAAGCAUUCCCUGACCUCCAGAAUUAUGGAAUAAUCAGACUUGAAAAGUACCCACAAGGAUCACAGAGUCAUGGAGUACCCUGAGUUGGAAGGGACCAACUCCAACUCCUGGCCCAGGACAACCCAAAAAUCCCCCUGAUACCAAAAUCCCAGCACCCUGAGCUCUGGCUUCUUGGGGCUGUCACCAUUCCCUGGGGAGUUGUUCCAGUGCCCAGCAUCCUCUGGAUGAGGAGCCCUUUCCCAAAAUCCACCCAAAACUCCCCCAGGACUGGGGUGAGGCACCUGCAGGACAAUCCCCUGCCUGGACCCAGCAGCCCAGGCUGAACUCUCCCAGGACAGGUUCAUCCCUAACGCACCUCAGGGGUGCCAGGGAACUGAGCAGGUAAUUCUGUUGUACUUCCACUUUUCCUUGCUGCAAUGGGAGUGAGGGAAGCUCAGCCUUGUUCCAGGUGAG